This 390-nucleotide ribosomal RNA is filed under the name Triticum aestivum (bread wheat). Its description in RNAcentral is "partial small subunit ribosomal RNA". Lineage: Eukaryota; Viridiplantae; Streptophyta; Magnoliopsida; Poales; Poaceae. The record is from RNAcentral.
AUGCCAAUAGUGAUUUUUUUUAUUACUGGUAAAGGAGUCAGACAAGGGGACCCUUACUCCCCUCUUCUAUUUAAUUUGGUAGCUGAUGUUUUUACUAGAAUUCUUGUUAAAGCAUCUAGAAACAACAUCCUGGAAGGUCUUUUCCCUAGUUCCAAUCCAGCUGGUAUUAUUAGCAUGCAAUAUGCUGAUUACACCUUGUUAUUUUUUAGUAACAACCCUGCUCAUGCCAGGAACCUUAAAUGGCUGAUGUCCUGUUUUGAGCAAAUUUCUGGGAUGAGAAUUAACUUUCACAAAUGUGAUUUGGUGCCCAUUAAUGUGAUGAGGAAGAAGCAAAAAUAUUUGCUCAAAUCCUUGGUUGCAAACUGGGUGAUUUUCCCAUUAAAUAUUUAG